UCGAACAGACCUAAAUUUCUAGCUUCUACACCAAAAUUUAAUUUUAAUCCAACAUCGAGGUCGCAAUCUUUUCUUUCGAUAAGAACUCUCAAGAAAAAUUACGCUGUUAUCCCUAAGGUAAUUUAAUCUUAUAAUCUUUAUAAAGGAUCAAAAAUCCACAUAUUAGUGCCUAAACUAAAAAAAAGUUUAUUAAAUUUUUCAAUCACCCCAAUUAAAUUAAUUUCCUUAUAAGAAAAUGAAUCCUAAAAAUACUUAUACUUUAACUAAUAAAACUCUAUAGGGUCUUCUCGUCUUUUAUUAACAUUUAAGCUUUUUUACUUAAAAAUAAAGUUCUAAUAAAUUUAAAUAGAGACAGAUUUUUUCUCAUCUAACCUUUCAUUCCAGCUUUCAAUUAAAAAACUAAUGAUUAUGCUACCUUUGCACGGUCAAAUUACCGCGGCCAUUUAAAACUUCAUUGGGCAGGCCAGACCUUAAAUUAUU
Molecule: ribosomal RNA, 480 nt
Filed under: Nusasyntrophus echinatus
Lineage: Eukaryota; Metazoa; Arthropoda; Insecta; Coleoptera; Curculionidae
Description: Syntrophus echinatus partial 16S ribosomal RNA
Source: RNAcentral